AAAGUCGUAACAAGGUUUCCGUAGGUGAACCUGCGGAAGGAUCAUUAGAGAAUAAACUUGGGUGGUGGUUGACGUCGGAAGACAAGACCCUGCCUAUAUCCACACACCUGUGCACUGUAGAGCCUUGACUUCUGUCGAGGUUCGCCCUUUAUACAAACAUAGUAGUCAUAAACGUGACGUCUUAUUAUAACCUAAUAAAACUUUCAACAACGGAUCUCUUGGCUCUC
RNAcentral lists this unclassified non-coding RNA (227 nucleotides) under Basidiomycota sp. RNAcentral's name for it is "partial contains small subunit ribosomal RNA, internal transcribed spacer 1, and 5.8S ribosomal RNA". The stretch from base 1 to 47 matches the Rfam family "Eukaryotic small subunit ribosomal RNA", at positions 1785 to 1831 of the family's 1831-position model. Lineage: Eukaryota; Fungi; Basidiomycota. The record is from RNAcentral.